CUUUUUCAGGUGUGAAUCAGGAUACACUGGACAGCACUGUGAAAAGACAGACUUUAGUAUUCUUUAUGUUGUCCCAAGUAGACAAAAGCUUACGCAUGUCCUUAUUGCAGCAAUAAUUGGAGCUGUACAGAUUGCCAUUAUAGUUGCAAUUGUCAUGUGCAUAACAAGAAAAUGCCCCAAAAACAAUAGAGGACGUCGGCAGAAGCAAAACCUAGGCCAUUUUACUUCAGAUACAUCAUCCAGAAUGGUUUAACUUAGUGAUUUUUUUAUACCUACAUUGACCAUGUGAUGUACAUUUUUAUUAUAUCUUUUUUUAAAGAAUGGAAAUAUUUAUUUCAGAGGCCUUAUUUUUGAACAUUUUUAGUGUAACAAUGUUGGUCUGUAUUCUGAAAGCAUCAGCUCUAACAGCUAUGGACUGUUUUAGUAUCUUUACUUUUAUGUUUUUGAAUACAGUAGUUCAUUUUCUGUAUCUGUAUCACAUGGUUAUGUAAUAGACUUGUGCUUUAUCCAUGGAAUGUAAUAUUUUUGGGAACACAGAUUUAUUCCACCAAUGGUUGUAGAUUUUAAAAAAAAACCCAACAAACCAACAAAAAAGUCCACAUUACCUAGCAAACAAGGCAUGAACUAAAGGUAAAAAUGUUUACAGCUUACUUUUCUUAUGAGAAACUAGAAAACACUGUGUUUAAAUACCGUAGAUAUUUAAAUGUUUUUGGAAGUUAGUAACUGAUUUUUUAGACACUGCCUAUCGCAUGAACUGUGAAGCUGUGUGCUGUGUGUAGUUGUAACAUAUUUAUAAAACAUGUGGGCUGGGUCUAAGCACUGCCAUCUUCAUAAAUAAUUCCAACAGUUUAUUUUUAAAGAGGAAAAUUAUAAAUUUCAUAAUUUGGGAAGUUACCUGGUAGAGCAGAUGGCACAGGUCCAAAAGAAGUAGGUCUUAGUAGAUUUAGGUAUUGUAAAAAUUGGUGUUGAAUAAUUGAACACAAAUAAUUGGAAUAAAACCUACUUUAUCACUGUUAAAGCUGUUUUAAUACUUCUUAAACUUUUUUAAAGAAAAUACAUGUUUUAACACCUACAAUACGGAUUGUAUAGUGUUUGUGAUUAAAAUAAAAAAAUAAUAAAAGUGAAUGAAUUACUAGUGCUCUUGUAUAGAGUAUUUUCAAGAGCUAAAGAAGUCCAUCCAAAUUAGUCUGCUGGUCAUAGUUAUAUUAAUAGACUGUUAGUUGUUGUUUGAAAGAUCCCGAGAUAAAGUGUGAAUAGGAUGCGUUCAGCUGUUUUAACGUGUAGUUUAGGCUUUCAAAAUUUUGCAUGUAGGAUUUAAUAAUUUGUUCAAUAAAAAAGACAAAUGCUUUCAACAUUUUGAACUGGAAAAGCAUGUCACAAUACAACGUUUUCACUAUA
Cariama cristata (Red-legged seriema) is the source of this 1398-nucleotide long non-coding RNA. RefSeq lists it as uncharacterized. The transcript has 2 exons. The record is from RefSeq and is a predicted model, not a curated record. NCBI's taxonomy places the organism in Eukaryota, Metazoa, Chordata, Aves, Cariamiformes, Cariamidae.